Molecule: ribosomal RNA, 465 nt
Filed under: uncultured bacterium
Lineage: Bacteria
Description: partial 16S ribosomal RNA
Rfam family: Bacterial small subunit ribosomal RNA
Source: RNAcentral
GACGAACGCUGGCGGCGUGCUUAACACAUGCAAGUCGUACGGUAAGGCCCUUUCGGGGGUACACGAGUGGCGAACGGGUGAGUAACACGUGAGUAACCUGCCCACAACUUUGGGAUAACGCUAGGAAACUGGUGCUAAUACUGGAUAUGUGCUCCUGCUGCAUGGUGGGGGUUGGAAAGCUCCGGCGGUUGUGGAUGGACUCGCGGCCUAUCGGCUUGUUGGUGGGGUAGUGGCCUACCAAGGCGGCGACGGGUAGCCGGCCUGAGAGGGUGACCGGCCACAUUGGGACUGAGAUACGGCCCAGACUCCUACGGGAGGCAGCAGUGGGGAAUAUUGCACAAUGGGCGCAAGCCUGAUGCAGCAACGCCGCGUGCGGGAUGACGGCCUUCGGGUUGUAAACCGCUUUCAGCAGGGACGAAGCUUUUUGUGACGGUACCUGCAGAAGAAGCACCGGCUAACUACGUG